This 4291-nucleotide small RNA is filed under the name Rattus norvegicus (Norway rat). RNAcentral describes it as "uncharacterized LOC102550786". The record is from RNAcentral. Lineage: Eukaryota; Metazoa; Chordata; Mammalia; Rodentia; Muridae.
GUCUCUGUUUACCUGCCAAAGGUCUGUUUACCUGACCUUUAUCUCAGCCUCUGGAAACAUGUUUCCUAAGUCUGUUAGUAGGCACGAGAAGCUGCCUUCUUCCUGUCCACUGCCAAGAGUAUCUGCCUUGCAAAAGGCUUUGGGCCAGAUCAUCACCUUGCAGAACCUGCUUCACUGGGAAAGAUGCCGGGCAGCCUUGGGGGAGCCGUAGGUGGGAGCAUCAGCAAAGGCCAUAGGAAAUGUUCUCUCAAGAAGGGCCACAGAGAAAAAGAAGAGCUUAGCUGCUUUCCAGACUGUCCUGGCUAUGAGGACCCGUGAGUCCCCAACUCUGCCAUCUAUCUUGUCAAGUUUAAUGAAGCCGCUUCCUAACAUCCUUACCUGCUGUUUGUAGAAAAGGCUACCGAAUCCCUCUCUCUACCAUGAACUUAGCUCUUGAUGUACUUUAACUGACGUAAAACAGUAACACAGAAGCACUGGAUGUGUGGUCAGGGGAAGAAGGCGGUCCGACUGUGAUGCCGGAAUUCAGAGAAUUAACCAGAGAGAUGGCCGUCCCCGGAGGGCCUGUGUUCUCUCGGUCCUAUCAUGUUGCACGGCCACCACCACUAGCAGUACUUCACACGUUCUUUGUAUCACCUGUGUUCAGAGGUAGAGCAGUGACUUCUGGCCACCAUGCAUGAAAAGCAACCGAAUCAAAAUCCAGACAGCAACAAUCUCCUGGGAGAUGUCCUGUCACAUGUUUUUGAAACAGUUUCACUCUCGAGCCUGUGCGCAUCCGAAGUCUCCCAGAUGCUGAGGUUCCAGACAUGUGUUACCACAUUCAGCUGAGUGUUAGAUUGUGUUGUUGUUCUGAGUUUCUAGGGACUCUUUAUCACAGAAGUGAUAGCUUGGUCAGGGAGGAUCGGACGGAACACGGUCCCAGAGAAGAAAGACCCAAUCCCAAGGCCGUGAGCACUCAACAAAGUGUAGGUUCCCUCGGCAUCCAUUUCUGUGACUUGCAAAAAUUCUAGGCCUUGGUCUCUGAAUGGGUGACUGGGCCUUAGAGUUGACAUUUCUGAAAGAUUAAACAUCUGUUGGCCCUCAAAACCCAUUUGUCUUGCACACUUAGCUUUUAUGGCAUCUUACUCCCAAGAGCAACAUGUUACAAGCCCUGUGGCAGGAGGGAGAAGAUAGGCCAUGCAUGUCCCUUCUCAUUCUGUGCUUCAUUGAAUAGGGAUUUUUAUGCCAGUAUGUCUACAUCACAACUGGGCUUAUGCAUGGUGUGUACAUGAACAGAUUCAUACAACUACACACACCCAGAUAUCCCAUGCACACUGGAAACCUUUCCUGGGUAGCUUUGCUCAGUAGAAGCUACAGAUGAGGGCAAAUACUGCGGAGGACCUCCCUGCAGGUGCUGGGAAUCCCCCUGCCUCCUACCCCAACCUCCAUGUUGGCCUAGGUAUGUGUGGAGAAGAAACUGCAUCUGUCUGGCUUGGUCAGGAAAGCAGAGGCCAUGUACUCUUCAGGCAAACAACAGAGUCCAUCAAAUAGAGCGAGAAGAUUCUCAAACCAGAAAUCUUCAGAGAGGGUCCAUUGGCCUCUAAACAGCAUCGUGCUGUCUGGAAAGAGAGAUCCCUUAGAGAUGAUCCCUCUCAGCCAGAGCUUUGCGGGACACAGCCAGCCUUUUUAUUCUCUCUAAUGACUACCGACACCACCUUUUCCAGAAAGGAAGCAGAAUCUGAGGAGACCAACGUAGACCAGUCAUGAGCUCCGGUGCCUUCAAGCUCAGGGAUUGGAUCAGUCUGAGGGUCUAAGGUUCCACCCACUUCCUCGCCGGCUGAGGGGAGGUCCAAUUCAGGUCUAGUCACUAAUGGCCUGCACACUGGAACCAGAAGCCUUUGGGGGGCAGGUGUGGGGGCAGGGGGGAUACGACUGCCAUUUCCUCUGAGCUCUCCCCUGGUCUCCCCUGAACAUAAUUCCUGAGCAGUGACCUCCAGCAGAGUGUGAGGUGACUUCCUUCCAAGCAAUGACAGAGGGGAACGACAGAGGAAUACCCAGGCUUUUUGGUUCUGGGGGUCACAACGCCCCCAAACAAUCUGCACGUGGCUCUCGAGAGCUCAAGGACCAGUUUAAGGUAGGUUUCAACCUCAAAUUCUAAGUAUGCCUGAUCUUCUGACCUUCCCUCCACCCCGCCCCCAGAAAAUUCCAAUCGUGGGGAAGAUAAUGAGGCCCCCAAGUUACUCCUAACAGGACCCAGGCUAGACGCCCACCCGGUUACACCCACCUGGCUCAGAGAUCUGAGGCAGGCGAGGCCCUGAAAGGCCGUGGUCUAUAGAAGCAGUUUUCUCUCCCAAGACAUCACGCCCUGUGGUACCCAUACACUGAUGCUGUCAUAGUAGAAACAUGGAACCCCCAAAUUCUCCAGAAAGAAGAAGAACGGGUGCCACCGCACCCUUUUUACCUUGAUUUCUCUAUCUGGGAAGUGGGCCCCAAGGCCUUCAACUGCCUUUAGGGAUAUCUGUGGGCUAACCAGUUUCUACAAAGCUCUUUGAGGUUCUGGGUGAGAGGCGGUAGAGUCGGCCAUCAGUUUGUUGUGGACCCUUAUGUUGUCUGGGUAUCAUGUCCUCCCUAGAACUCAUGUGGUCUCUUCCUGUAAGCUGCUGUGGGAGAGUUACCAGAAGGGAGGCUCCUUGUGACUUCACUGUGGUGCCUGCUGAGGUCCGAGGGCUCAGUUGCCCACCCAUCCAGGAAAGCCUAACAUUCAGUAAACAUUUAAAAGUGGUGCUGUGUCAGGCACUGUUCCAGGGUCUGGAAAGGACCAAGAGGAAGGGAAAGAUCUCGGCUAGAGGUGAGUAUGGAGGGAAAGUCAGUGUAGAGGGACAAGAACGAAGGUGUGUCACAGGUGCCCUGGAGAGCUUUUGGGUCCCACAAGGAAAAGUAUAAGAAGGUUCCAGAAAGAAGUAAGGCUCAGGUGGAGUGAGCACAGAAGGUGUCUGAAGGAAAACAGACCCAAGUAAAGUGGUUUAGACUUGGGUUAUCCCUUUCCUGGCACCACAGUGUUUUAGACAGAAGCAUGGUCGCAGUGUCCUCUUAAUGAGGUCAGUUCAAAACCAGGACAGGGCCCAGGAAGAAGGGGUGGCUGUCACAGCUGCCUGUGGCUGGCAAAGGCCAUGGACCCAGAUAUCUUUUUGUGUGCUCCAUGGGGAGCAGUCUCAAGCAGGCAGCAGGCCCUUUUGAAGAUCAUGGACCCCACUGUGAAGAUGGUUUUCAGUGCAGUCAACAUAGUGAUCCUGAGAAUCCAGGCCUGUGGAUACUUGCAGGGAAGUUGAAGUUCAGUGAACUGGUGAAUGAACGCCGUGUUGGAAUCCAGGAAAGCUGGGGAAGAAACAGAGGUAACCUCGGUUAAGCCCAAGGUUUCCCUUAGCCACCCUUCCACUCAAGGAAAAGUGGCUCCUACUUGGUGACGGUACCUUCUUGAGAGACACAAAGAUGAUUAAUUAAUGGAAAUUAACUUUAUGAAUAAUAAAUACUCAGUCGGAUGAAGUAGCAUUUCCAUCUGUCAGAUCUUCUGCUGUAGCCAUUUAACUACAGCUGGAGCGCCAGGAAAACCAUCAACAGAAAAAAAAAACCCACAUCAUGUUGCGUUCCGUUUAAAGUUGUAUCAAAGGCUCACUAAGCAAGUGGAGGCAUGAAAAGCAGCCAAACCCAGAAAUGUGGCCUUGAAGCCCUGCCUCACCUGCUGUCCCACAUGCAGCUGGUGGCUCACUCUGAACUCUGCACUGGUCUAUUGUCAGUCAAAUCCGAACAUGUCAAAAUGAGUCUUUCCAUUUACAUUCUACUCACAAGGAAAUGAUGGGCGUCCUUUUUACUGUGCAAACAGCAUGCAUGUUUUCUCGGUACCUCAGUAGCAUAGCCUCCGGGUGUAGACAAGCUACAGUCAGUCAUGUUUGUUGUAGAGUGACAGACACUGUGGAGUUGGUGUAUACUCUGGGGAAGGCUCUCUUCUGCUCCUCAAGGGGGAUCAACACAUUAUGUCAGACCCUACAGUGGCCUUGAAGCUUCCUUUCAGUCUCCUUGCCUUUCCGCAGUGCGUGUGGAAGAGGCACACGAUCUGUAGUUUCAUCGUGUGAACGUGAGACAAGGGAAUUGUGAAGGUUCUUCUCUCUCAUCUUGAAAGGUCGUCUCAGUGUUCUGCCUUCCACGCCUGCUGUUUAAGUUCAUACUCACCAGUACUAGGUGGUCUCACUGGUUCUGGACAACUGGAAAGAUCAGUGAAAUAAAAUAGGAAGUAUUUUGUAACUGAGUGAAAAAAAAA